GGACGCAUCACUGGUGUUCGGGUUGUCAUGCCAAUGGCACUGCCCGGUAGCUAAAUGCGGAAGAGAUAAGUGCUGAAAGCAUCUAAGCACGAAACUUGCCCCGAGAUGAGUUCUCCCUGAGACUUUAAGUCUCCUGAAGGAACGUUAAAGACGAUGACGUUGAUAGGCCGGGUGUGUAAGCGCAGCGAUGCGUUGAGCUAACCGGUACUAAUGAACCGUGAGGCUUAACCUU
RNAcentral lists this ribosomal RNA (232 nucleotides) under Klebsiella pneumoniae. RNAcentral describes it as "partial 23S ribosomal RNA". It matches the Rfam family "Bacterial large subunit ribosomal RNA", at positions 2699 to 2925 of the family's 2925-position model. Lineage: Bacteria; Pseudomonadati; Pseudomonadota; Gammaproteobacteria; Enterobacterales; Enterobacteriaceae. The record is from RNAcentral.